This 121-nucleotide ribosomal RNA is filed under the name Streptomyces varsoviensis. Its description in RNAcentral is "partial 16S rRNA". It matches the Rfam family "Bacterial small subunit ribosomal RNA", at positions 162 to 283 of the family's 1533-position model. Lineage: Bacteria; Bacillati; Actinomycetota; Actinomycetes; Kitasatosporales; Streptomycetaceae. The record is from RNAcentral.
UCUAAUACCGGAUACGACYGCCGACCGCAUGGUCUGGUGGUGGAAAGCUCCGGCGGUGCAGGAUGAGCCCGCGGCCUAUCAGCUUGUUGGUGGGGUGAUGGCCUACCAAGGCGACGACGGG